GCCGUGGCUCAGUGGCAGAGGAUCUGUUUGGCAUGCAGAAGGUCCUGAGUUCGAUUCCUGGCAUCUCCA
RNAcentral lists this transfer RNA (69 nucleotides) under Sphaerodactylus townsendi. RNAcentral's name for it is "tRNA-Ala". It matches the Rfam family "tRNA". Rfam says of the family: Transfer RNA (tRNA) molecules are approximately 80 nucleotides in length. Their secondary structure includes four short double-helical elements and three loops (D, anti-codon, and T loops). Lineage: Eukaryota; Metazoa; Chordata; Lepidosauria; Squamata; Sphaerodactylidae. The record is from RNAcentral.